RNAcentral lists this microRNA (22 nucleotides) under Haplochromis burtoni (Burton's mouthbrooder). Its description in RNAcentral is "abu-miR-10562". The record is from miRBase by way of RNAcentral. Lineage: Eukaryota; Metazoa; Chordata; Actinopteri; Cichliformes; Cichlidae.
UCAUCAGCCAGUGAGCGUGUGG